GGUUAAGCGACUAAGCGUACACGGUGGAUGCCCUGGCAGUCAGAGGCGAUGAAGGACGUGCUAAUCUGCGAUAAGCGUCGGUAAGGUGAUAUGAACCGUUAUAACCGGCGAUUUCCGAAUGGGGAAACCCAGUGUGUUUCGACACACUAUCAUUAACUGAAUCCAUAGGUUAAUGAGGCGAACCGGGGGAACUGAAACAUCUAAGUACCCCGAGGAAAAGAAAUCAACCGAGAUUCCCCCAGUAGCGGCGAGCGAACGGGGAGGAGCCCAGAGCCUGAAUCAGUGUGUGUGUUAGUGGAAGCGUCUGGAAAGGCGCGCGAUACAGGGUGACAGCCCCGUACACAAAAAUGCACAUAUUGUGAGCUCGAUGAGUAGGGCGGGACACGUGGUAUCCUGUCUGAAUAUGGGGGGACCAUCCUCCAAGGCUAAAUACUCCUGACUGACCGAUAGUGAACCAGUACCGUGAGGGAAAGGCGAAAAGAACCCCGGCGAGGGGAGUGAAAAAGAACCUGAAACCGUGUACGUACAAGCAGUGGGAGCCUCUUUUAUGGGGUGACUGCGUACCUUUUGUAUAAUGGGUCAGCGACUUAUAUUCUGUAGCAAGGUUAACCGAAUAGGGGAGCCGAAGGGAAACCGAGUCUUAACUGGGCGUUAAGUUGCAGGGUAUAGACCCGAAACCCGGUGAUCUAGCCAUGGGCAGGUUGAAGGUUGGGUAACACUAACUGGAGGACCGAACCGACUAAUGUUGAAAAAUUAGCGGAUGACUUGUGGCUGGGGGUGAAAGGCCAAUCAAACCGGGAGAUAGCUGGUUCUCCCCGAAAGCUAUUUAGGUAGCGCCUCGUGAAUUCAUCUCCGGGGGUAGAGCACUGUUUCGGCAAGGGGGUCAUCCCGACUUACCAACCCGAUGCAAACUGCGAAUACCGGAGAAUGUUAUCACGGGAGACACACGGCGGGUGCUAACGUCCGUCGUGAAGAGGGAAACAACCCAGACCGCCAGCUAAGGUCCCAAAGUCAUGGUUAAGUGGGAAACGAUGUGGGAAGGCCCAGACAGCCAGGAUGUUGGCUUAGAAGCAGCCAUCAUUUAAAGAAAGCGUAAUAGCUCACUGGUCGAGUCGGCCUGCGCGGAAGAUGUAACGGGGCUAAACCAUGCACCGAAGCUGCGGCAGCGACACUAUGUGUUGUUGGGUAGGGGAGCGUUCUGUAAGCCUGUGAAGGUGUGCUGUGAGGCAUGCUGGAGGUAUCAGAAGUGCGAAUGCUGACAUAAGUAACGAUAAAGCGGGUGAAAAGCCCGCUCGCCGGAAGACCAAGGGUUCCUGUCCAACGUUAAUCGGGGCAGGGUGAGUCGACCCCUAAGGCGAGGCCGAAAGGCGUAGUCGAUGGGAAACAGGUUAAUAUUCCUGUACUUGGUGUUACUGCGAAGGGGGGACGGAGAAGGCUAUGUUGGCCGGGCGACGGUUGUCCCGGUUUAAGCGUGUAGGCUGGUUUUCCAGGCAAAUCCGGAAAAUCAAGGCUGAGGCGUGAUGACGAGGCACUACGGUGCUGAAGCAACAAAUGCCCUGCUUCCAGGAAAAGCCUCUAAGCAUCAGGUAACAUCAAAUCGUACCCCAAACCGACACAGGUGGUCAGGUAGAGAAUACCAAGGCGCUUGAGAGAACUCGGGUGAAGGAACUAGGCAAAAUGGUGCCGUAACUUCGGGAGAAGGCACGCUGAUAUGUAGGUGAAGUCCCUCGCGGAUGGAGCUGAAAUCAGUCGAAGAUACCAGCUGGCUGCAACUGUUUAUUAAAAACACAGCACUGUGCAAACACGAAAGUGGACGUAUACGGUGUGACGCCUGCCCGGUGCCGGAAGGUUAAUUGAUGGGGUCAGCGCAAGCGAAGCUCUUGAUCGAAGCCCCGGUAAACGGCGGCCGUAACUAUAACGGUCCUAAGGUAGCGAAAUUCCUUGUCGGGUAAGUUCCGACCUGCACGAAUGGCGUAAUGAUGGCCAGGCUGUCUCCACCCGAGACUCAGUGAAAUUGAACUCGCUGUGAAGAUGCAGUGUACCCGCGGCAAGACGGAAAGACCCCGUGAACCUUUACUAUAGCUUGACACUGAACAUUGAGCCUUGAUGUGUAGGAUAGGUGGGAGGCUUAGAAGUGUGGACGCCAGUCUGCAUGGAGCCGACCUUGAAAUACCACCCUUUAAUGUUUGAUGUUCUAACGUGGACCCGUGAUCCGGGUUGCGGACAGUGUCUGGUGGGUAGUUUGACUGGGGCGGUCUCCUCCUAAAGAGUAACGGAGGAGCACGAAGGUUGGCUAAUCCUGGUCGGACAUCAGGAGGUUAGUGCAAUGGCAUAAGCCAGCUUGACUGCGAGCGUGACGGCGCGAGCAGGUGCGAAAGCAGGUCAUAGUGAUCCGGUGGUUCUGAAUGGAAGGGCCAUCGCUCAACGGAUAAAAGGUACUCCGGGGAUAACAGGCUGAUACCGCCCAAGAGUUCAUAUCGACGGCGGUGUUUGGCACCUCGAUGUCGGCUCAUCACAUCCUGGGGCUGAAGUAGGUCCCAAGGGUAUGGCUGUUCGCCAUUUAAAGUGGUACGCGAGCUGGGUUUAGAACGUCGUGAGACAGUUCGGUCCCUAUCUGCCGUGGGCGCUGGAGAACUGAGGGGGGCUGCUCCUAGUACGAGAGGACCGGAGUGGACGCAUCACUGGUGUUCGGGUUGUCAUGCCAAUGGCACUGCCCGGUAGCUAAAUGCGGAAGAGAUAAGUGCUGAAAGCAUCUAAGCACGAAACUUGCCCCGAGAUGAGUUCUCCCUGACCCUUUAAGGGUCCUGAAGGAACGUUGAAGACGACGACGUUGAUAGGCCGGGUGUGUAAGCGCAGCGAUGCGUUGAGCUAACCGGUACUAAUGAACCGUGAGGCUUAACCUU
RNAcentral lists this ribosomal RNA (2903 nucleotides) under Escherichia coli. Its description in RNAcentral is "23S ribosomal RNA". It matches the Rfam family "Bacterial large subunit ribosomal RNA". The record is from RNAcentral. Lineage: Bacteria; Pseudomonadati; Pseudomonadota; Gammaproteobacteria; Enterobacterales; Enterobacteriaceae.